This 301-nucleotide ribosomal RNA is filed under the name uncultured bacterium. Its description in RNAcentral is "partial 16S ribosomal RNA". It matches the Rfam family "Bacterial small subunit ribosomal RNA", at positions 509 to 807 of the family's 1533-position model. The record is from RNAcentral.
CAGCAGCCGCGGUAAUACGGAGGGUGCAAGCGUUAAUCGGAAUUACUGGGCGUAAAGCGCACGCAGGCGGUUUGUUAAGUCGGAUGUGAAAUCCCCGAGCUUAACUUGGGAACUGCAUUUGAAACUGGCAAGCUAGAGUCUUGUAGAGGGGGGUAGAAUUCCAGGUGUAGCGGUGAAAUGCGUAGAGAUCUGGAGGAAUACCGGUGGCGAAGGCGGCCCCCUGGACAAAGACUGACGCUCAGGUGCGAAAGCGUGGGGAGCAAACAGGAUUAGAUACCCCAGUAGUCCCUGUCUCUUAUAC